GACGAACGCUGGCGGCGUGCUUAACACAUGCAAGUCGAACGGAAAGGCCCUGCUUUUGUGGGUUGCUCGAGUGGCGAACGGGUGAGUAACACGUGAGUAACCUGCCCUUGACUUUGGGGUAACUUCAGGGAACUGGGGCUAAUACCGGAUAGGAGCUCCUGCUGCAUGGUGGGGGUUGGAAAGUUUCGGCGGUGGGGGAUGGACUCGCGGCUUAUCAGCUUGUUGGUGGGGUAGUGGCUUACCAAGGCUUUGACGGGUAGCCGGCCUGAGAGGGUUAACGGGCACAUUGGGACUGAGAUACGGAGCAGACUCCUACGGGAGGCAGCAGUGGAGAAUAUUGCACAAUGGGCGGAAGCCUGAGGCAGCAACGCCGCGUGCGGGAUGACGGCCUUCGGGUUGUAAACCGCUUUCGAAUGUGACGAAGCGUGAGUGACGGUAAUGGGUAAAGAAGCACCGGCUAACUACGUG
RNAcentral lists this ribosomal RNA (468 nucleotides) under uncultured bacterium. RNAcentral's name for it is "partial 16S ribosomal RNA". It matches the Rfam family "Bacterial small subunit ribosomal RNA", at positions 28 to 507 of the family's 1533-position model. The record is from RNAcentral.